GUCGAACGAGUUCUCGUUGAUGAUCGGUGCUUGCACCGAGAUUCAACAUGGAACGAGUGGCGGACGGGUGAGUAACACGUGGGUAACCUGCCCUUAAGUGGGGGAUAACAUUUGGAAACAGAUGCUAAUACCGCAUAGAUCCAAGAACCGCAUGGUUCUUGGCUGAAAGAUGGCGUAAGCUAUCGCUUUUGGAUGGACCCGCGGCGUAUUAGCUAGUUGGUGAGGUAAUGGCUCACCAAGACGAUGAUACGUAGCCGAACUGAGAGGUUGAUCGGCCACAUUGGGACUGAGACACGGCCCAAACUCCUACGGGAGGCAGCAGUAGGGAAUCUUCCACAAUGGACGCAAGUCUGAUGGAGCAACGCCGCGUGAGUGAAGAAGGCUUUCGGGUCGUAAAACUCUGUUGUUGGAGAAGAAUGGUCGGCAGAGUAACUGUUGUCGGCGUGACGGUAUCCAACCAGAAAGCCACGGCUAACUACGUGCCAGCAGCCGCGGUAAUACAUAGGUGGCAAGCGUUAUCCGGAUUUAUUGGGCGUAAAGCGAGCGCAGGCGGUUUUUUAAGUCUGAUGUGAAAGCCCUCGGCUUAACCGAGGAAGCGCAUCGGAAACUGGGAAACUUGAGUGCAGAAGAGGACAGUGGAACUCCAUGUGUAGCGGUGAAAUGCGUAGAUAUAUGGAAGAACACCAGUGGCGAAGGCGGCUGUCUGGUCUGUAACUGACGCUGAGGCUCGAAAGCAUGGGUAGCGAACAGGAUUAGAUACCCUGGUAGUCCAUGCCGUANACGAUGAAUGCUAGGUGUUGGAGGGUUUCCGCCCUUC
This 817-nucleotide ribosomal RNA is filed under the name uncultured bacterium. RNAcentral describes it as "bacterial SSU rRNA". It matches the Rfam family "Bacterial small subunit ribosomal RNA", at positions 61 to 841 of the family's 1533-position model. The record is from RNAcentral.